AUGCAUGUUGAUCCAAGAGCUGUGGCUCAGUGCAGUAGCUACAGGUUUCCAGUAACAUGCCAGAGCAAUGGAAGGUCUUUGGCUGCUGGGCUUCUCCUGCCCAUUGCUGUUACUCGCCCUUCCUACAGAC
Small nucleolar RNA from Melopsittacus undulatus (budgerigar), 130 nucleotides. NCBI's taxonomy places the organism in Eukaryota, Metazoa, Chordata, Aves, Psittaciformes, Psittaculidae. The record is from Ensembl.